Miniopterus natalensis is the source of this 2393-nucleotide non-coding RNA. Lineage: Eukaryota; Metazoa; Chordata; Mammalia; Chiroptera; Miniopteridae. The record is from RefSeq and is a predicted model, not a curated record.
CACCUCGCAAAUCAGCUGUGAAGUGAUGACCUCCUCUCUCCGCGGCCCCGAGUCCUGUGCCUCUGCUACCUGUUAUUUGGCCUUCUGUGGCAAUGAGCUGGGUUUGCCUUGGAUGCAUGACUCCGCGGCUAUGCGAGUCUGCAAAGGGGACUUUACCACCUGCGCCUCAGUGAACACAGCCCACGGCUUUGCUCAUGGAGGCCCUAAGGACGUUAUAGAUUUUGCAGGUGACCCAAGAAAAACAUCUUGAGGGCCUCCUGCCUUUGUACACUUGAGCAGUGUUAGCCACAACUCAUGACCGCGGAGCUCCACCAGCUAUGCUUUGUUUCUCUUUGGAGAGGAUGCCGGGCAUCUUAGACCCGCAAGGACUGGAAGAGCGAUGUUAUACUCUCAACCCAGUAGGUAAAUGCAUUUUGGAAAACCACCUUGAAAAGAGGUGCACUUAAUUAGACUGUUAUUUCUUAUCCUAGCAGCUGCAAGUUUCUCUAGUUGCAGAACUGAAAGGUAACAUAGGAAGUCUAUUUCAGAGAUUUUAUUCUUUAUACUAACUUGGCUCCAGAAUCUUACAAAAGUGACACAUUCUUAGCAAGGUCAGAGAACACAGGACGAAACUCUGACCCAAAGUGAAUGUUAUGGGUGGAAGUAUAUUCUAUCAUUUCAAAUUCUGUUUAGUGAAGUUUCACCCACAAUUAUCAGUUUUUAUGCUCUUGUUCGCUCCUUAUUUCUUUCAUAAAUUUCCAUCUCCUGUAUGGUAUAGAAAAUAGUUACUAGCAUUAUGAGGUUGAACUGUCUCCAGGUUCAAAUAAUCUGGUUUCAGGUAAAGUUGCUAUAAAUAUUUUGUUCAAAUUUGGUAGAGAAAAAGAAAACUUGGAAAUUGAGUCUCUUACCUUUAAAAUGGUAUUGGAAUUUAGGCUUCAUAAUGUUUUAGUAUUCUAUUGAGUUAAAGCUAGGAAAAUAUUUCUUUUAAAAUUAUUUCCCUCCAAUGAUCAGCUUUUAUUUAGUUGUAACUCUUCACCUUGUAUUUAACCUGAAAAGGCAGUGAUACAUAUGUGAUAGGGCCUAAAAUGUAGCCAUGAAACAUGAGAUUAUUCCUUCAUGCACUCAUGUAUGCACACACACAAUUUUUUUUUUUUUGAGAAUGUUCAAACCUACAGAGAAAUAGAAAGAAUAGUGCAAUGAAUGCUCACCCACAAACCACCUGAAUUUAACAAUUGUUAACAUUUUUUCAUAAAAUAAAUUAUUCAUUACAUAAUUAUGUGUAUGUGCUUCAGCUUUCCCUCCAAAAAGUGAAUAUUUGCCUAUCUAUAUUACCACAGUUUGAGUAUUAUCUCUAAUAGAGUCAACAGUAAUCAUCUAAUCUCAUCUAACAGCCAACUCAUUUUCACUUUCUUCUUUCAGUUGUGCCAAACUGUGACUAUUUAUUAGUUAUUAGUGAAACCAUUAUCAUAAGAUCAGAGACAUGAGAACAUGGUACAAUCACUUACUUGAUAUAAGUCAGGAAUAUAGAUUGGUAGCAGAACAUAAUUUAAGCCAGAAAAUGUGUAGUAAUUAUUUAUUCACUUGGAAACACUUCUCUCCCCAGGUUACACUGGCUCCUGGAGAAAUUGAGUGAUCAACCAGAAUCAACUUGAGCCCCCAAUCUGGUCAUCAUAGGGCUCUGACGCCGCCAUAACUUCUGUGUCUCUAGUGCAGAGGGGAAAAUACCAUCGAGAGAGGCCUUCAGACACUCCUGCAGAUGGAUAGUCAGUUAUUCCCACACCAUUUAUUGAGUAGUCCAUUCUUUCCUCAAUACCUUGAAAUCAUACCACAGAACUAUAAAAAUAAUGAAUGAAAAUAGGUGGACAUAAUUUUGUCAUGUUAAGGAGGGGAAAGAUUUUCAAAGCAAGAUGGUGAUAUUUGUGCUUCUCAUCUCAGCCUGGUCGCCUGACCUUGACUCCAGAAUUCUGUGAUCCCUCCACAACUGCAAGUCAUUCUCAUACAAAACUUGAGUUUACCUAGUCUGCACCUUUGAGAGUUUGGGAACAAUAUGCAAGUUCAAGUCGCCAUCAUGUUGUCUUGCUGAAUAUCUCAUGUAACAAGAUCAAUAUUUUUGUUUCUUGCUUCUACCCUUGUUCUUCUGUCUGUUGCCCCCUCUACAGCUGUCAGUCACACACGUGGAGUCUUGCAAAAGCUGUUUGCCCUUUUUAUAUGUCCUGUGAAUGUUGUCAUUUGCUUCUCGUAUAUUACAAAUUAGUGUUGUGUACCACUUAGUGAUAUAAAGCAUUCAAUAAUUGUAAAUUUGCAUAAGUUUGGGUAAGAAUAGCAUCCAAUCAAAAGGCAAAAAGGUAGAUGAUAGAAACAGAUUCGAGACAAGUGAAGAGGGCAGGAAAGGUGAUGUCUAUUGCAAAAAAAAA